Molecule: ribosomal RNA, 492 nt
Filed under: uncultured bacterium
Lineage: Bacteria
Description: partial 16S ribosomal RNA
Rfam family: Bacterial small subunit ribosomal RNA
Source: RNAcentral
AGUGAACGCUGGCGGUAGGCCUAACACAUGCAAGUCGAACGGCAGCACAGUAAGAGCUUGCUCUUACGGGUGGCGAGUGGCGGACGGGUGAGGAAUACAUCGGAAUCUACUUUUUCGUGGGGGAUAACGUAGGGAAACUUACGCUAAUACCGCAUACGACCUACGGGUGAAAGCAGGGGAUCGUCGGACCUUGCGCGGUUGAAUGAGCCGAUGUCGGAUUAGCUAGUGGGCGGGGUAAAGGCCCACCAAGGCGACGAUCCGUAGCUCGUCUGAGAGGAUGAUAAGCCACACUGGAACUGAGACACGGUCCAUACUCCUACGGGAGGCAGCAGUGGGGAAUAUUGGACAAUGGGCGCAAGCCUGAUCCAGCCAUACCGCGUGGGUGAAGAAGGCCUUCCGGUUGUAAAGCCCUUUUUUUGGGAAAGAAAAGCAGCAGGUUAAUACCCCGCUGUUCUGACGGUACCCAAAGAAUAAGCACCGGCUAACUUCGUG